Molecule: long non-coding RNA, 384 nt
Organism: Ictalurus punctatus (channel catfish)
Lineage: Eukaryota; Metazoa; Chordata; Actinopteri; Siluriformes; Ictaluridae
Source: Ensembl
GGGGAAAUAGGGGUGGGAGGGAGGGGAUGGAAGGGCAAAUUUACACUCAAUAUAGUCUUAAAUUUGACCAGCUUUAAUACAGCAUGGUGGUUUCGUAAAAGAAACUGGAUUACUGAGCCGCAAGGUAUUCUUUGGUGUGCCCUACAUGUGGAGCCCUUUGAUGGGGCCCUGCAGAGAAAGACCCAGGAGAUGACCCAGGACUAGUGCAAGAGCUGGUGCAAGAAAGAAUUACUGAAAACUCAUCAUUUUAGAGAUAAUGGCGGCUUUUAGGAAACACCAUCAAAACAGGCUCGUACGUAAUUGCUGAUUGAGAUCAGACUUUGUAGAUCCUGUAGUAUAUGUACAUGCCUUCCUAGAUACUUUAGUUAACUAAUAUAGUACGCU